GUUUCCAGUUCAGCAUCGGCAGCGCGCCGUGGGAGCUCACGAGCAGGUCGUUUCCCUUGACGCGGCCGUCGAGGAUCAUGAGCUCGGGACCGGUCAGGCCGAGCUGGAUGCCGACCCGGAAGGUCUCGAGAUUACCGGAGGGCUCGAUGGCGAAGACGCUCCGGACCUCGACCCGUUCCUUCUGCUUGGUGGCGAGGAGCGUGCCCCUGAGGAGCUCGGCCGAGUCGAACCAGGCGUAGCUGUGCAGGUUCACCCAGCCGUCGCUCGUGCGGGUCAGGCUGGUGCGAAUCUGGCCGACCGAGCGAUCGUCGACGUCGUCGUCCUCGCCGGCGACCUGGAUGGCCCAGAGCACGGGGCCCUCGACGGGGCGUUCCGUCUUGAGGAUGGUGUGCAGGUCGGGCGGCGGGCCGAUGAGGAGCCCGGGCAGCACGUCGCGCUGGAGGAGCGCGACGGUUGCGUAGGCCCAGGCCACGAGGAUCACCACGCACAGGGUCCGAUUCGGCAUCCCGGCACGCUCCUUGCUACAUGCUUCAACACUAUAGGCCCCAGUUCCGGGGGUGGACAAGCCGUCCCCAAGGUCUCGAGCCGCGACGCCGGCGGUCGGGAGCCCGCGGGAGCGGGGCGAGGCCGCUCGCGCGGUUCGGCUUGACGCCCAGCCGGGAUCCGAAUAGCCUCCCCACCGGACCGUCGCCCCUUCCUCUCACGCGGUCCCUCCCCACUUGCGGCUCACGUCUUCCGAUCGUUCACGAUCGAUCAGGCCACCGCCACGUGCCGGAGCGCAAGCUCAUGAAAAAGAAGAGAUUGCGGUGGGUCGUCGUGGUCUCGGCCGGGCUCGUGAUGGUGGCCGCGCCGGCGGCCUUCUGGGCCUUUCUGGGGUACCGGCCGCAGUUCUACAGCCGGCUGGUGGAGAUGCCGCCGGAGCAGCGGCGCCGGGAGGCGCGGCGAUUCGUGAACCAGAGCCUGAGGCUUCGCAACGACCUGGCCAACGAGGCGGCGUGGGAGGUGGCGUUUUCGGACCGCGAGGUGAACGCCUGGCUGGCCGAGGACCUGGUCGUGCAUUUCGCGGACCAGAUUCCUCCCGGGGUGCGGGAUCCGCGGAUCGCCUUCGAGCCCGACCGGGCGACCGUGGCGUUUCAGAUGGACAACGGGCCGAUCCGGUCGGUGGUGUGGGCCGUCGUGCAGGUGAGCGUGCCGGAGCCGAACGUGGUGGGGUUCGUGGUCGAGAAGAUCCGGGCCGGGGCGUUGCCGGUGCCGCCGGAGCAGGUGCUCGGUGGCAUGAUCGCGCACGCGAGGCAGCAGGGGCUUCAGGUCGAGUGGGACCCGAAGUCGAGCCCGGCGGAGGUGCGGAUCCGGUACCAGGCCGACCUGGGCCGGCGCGACAUCCACCUCGACAACGUGCGGAUCGCCAACGGCAUGAUCCGGCUGAGCGGGUCGUCGGAGCCGAGCCGGGGCACGCGGACCACGCUGCGGCUGCCCGGGCGCAAGGUGCUUCAGU
Molecule: unclassified non-coding RNA, 1495 nt
Filed under: uncultured fungus
Lineage: Eukaryota; Fungi
Description: sequence contains 18S rRNA gene, ITS1, 5.8S rRNA gene, ITS2, 28S rRNA gene
Source: RNAcentral